UACAGAGACCUCAAGCGUUAUCCGGAAUCAUUGGGCGUAAAGCGUACCGAUAGGUGGUUGUAUUAGUCUUGGGUGAAAGACCGAAGCUUAACUUCGGGGUUUGCUUAAGAUACUGUACAGCUAGAGGGGCAAAGAGGAGACUGGAACGAACGGUGUAGUAGUGAAAUGCGUUGAUAUCGUUCGGAACACCGAAAGCGAAGGCAGGUCUCUGGGUGCCACCUGACACUGCUAGGACGAAAGCGUGGGUAGCGAAUGGG
RNAcentral lists this ribosomal RNA (257 nucleotides) under uncultured prokaryote. Its description in RNAcentral is "partial 16S ribosomal RNA". It matches the Rfam family "Bacterial small subunit ribosomal RNA", at positions 524 to 776 of the family's 1533-position model. The record is from RNAcentral.